Molecule: long non-coding RNA, 680 nt
Filed under: Struthio camelus australis
Lineage: Eukaryota; Metazoa; Chordata; Aves; Struthioniformes; Struthionidae
Description: lncRNA (ENSSCUG00000012075.1)
Source: RNAcentral
GGAGCUGGAGCACCAGCCUGUGUCAAGAGUAUCAAGAUAAGAGGAAAUGAUGAGGGAGUCCCUGCAGCAGUCAUCAACCAAAACAGGCUGCUGAGAACUUCACACCUUUACCUGGUAAAGGGACAAGUCAGCAAUGCGAAGAAAUGUUUGCAUCGGCAUGGAAUAGUUUUGGAUGAUCAGGAGGCCUGUGGAAAUGACAAAUAUUUCUGUCACUCCCUGAGCAAAUCCCUCAUCCUCAGAGUUGGACGGUUGCCUCUCUCUUGCUUUUGCUCAGCUGAACAGUAUCUUCCUCUCCUUUUGGAGUGUGCAAAAGCAGACGACGCUAGCUUACCUUUGCUUUCCUCAAAGGCCAUAUGUGAGACCAACAGCAAGGGCUUCUGCCAGUCCUCUUCGGAAAUGCUAAUGGAGAACAAAAAUGCAAGAGAGUAACCGAAGAGGGGGCUUUCCAAAGGCUCAGAGCAGAUGCAUAUUGGAAAGAGAAGAGUCUUAUUCCAAGCCUCCUCUUGCAUUAACCAGGAUUUGGGCCAAGUAUCAGGCAUGCUCUCAAGAGCCUAUUCCAAAGGGUCAGUAAUGCAGAUCAACAGGGGCUUCACACCAUGAACAGAAGGAAGAUGUGGCCCUAACUGAAGAUUUCCCAAAGAGGAGCUUUAAAUGAUACAAUAAACGUUGGCCAAAGCCCA